This 1106-nucleotide long non-coding RNA is filed under the name Monodelphis domestica (gray short-tailed opossum). RNAcentral's name for it is "lncRNA (ENSMODG00000046788.1)". Lineage: Eukaryota; Metazoa; Chordata; Mammalia; Didelphimorphia; Didelphidae. The record is from RNAcentral.
GGAUGAUAGAGCAAAAAGGGUUUUGCAUUUGGAAUCAGGACAUCCAAGUCUUGGAUUCGUAAUUCACUGCUGAGCCAGCUUCUUUACUCCCUGACCCUUGGAAUCUCUAUCUGCAAAAAAAAGGGUUGGCUAACAUGGCAGAAAAGGAAAAUAACAAAUGCUGGACAGGAUUUGGAAAAGUUGAUAUACAAAUUCCCUGUUGUUGUCCUUUUCAUCACUCCCUCUGCUCCACACACACACAUCUACCAAAAAGUCAGUGACAUCAAAGGUCCCAUCAAAGGACACCACAUCAAGAAGACUGGCAUGUCAAGAUCAAUCUUUCUCCUGAGACAUUCCUUGCCUGAACAUUGACUGGCAGUGCAUUUGGACAACUUUACCUCUGAGACCAAUUAUCUCUCUUCUACAAUAUAUUCAGCCUUCACCAGACUGGCUUCUGGAACCAGCUGCUUUCUAUGAGGCCCUAUAUAGAUGUGGUUUUGGUGCACAGAUGUGAUUAUUUAAAUGAAGUGAAGUCUCUAUUAAAAAAAAAUAGGUAUCUUUAUUAAUCCUCCAGGAACAUAAUCCCUGGGUCCUUUUUCAUGUUAAGAAGAUUAUUCUAAAAUUACACAAAUUAGUUACUUAUGAUGAUCUUUAGUCUUCAAGUUAUAGACAUUUGAAUGAGUCACACAUUCAUUUUUCAAAACAAUAUGGUGACACCUGAAUAUAUACCACCACCAAAACCCACUCAGCUCUUAGAAAGAGGUAAAAUUAGUAAGGGUCUUCUCAACAUAUAAUCCUGUGUUUAGAAUUCAUCAAAGAGUUUUGUUCUCCAACUAGAUUCUCUUAUGGAGGUUGUCGAAAAGUGCGUAUGUGGUGUAUUAUUCCUACAGUGUCUGUCUUCAUUAAACAGCCAACAAUUAUUUUUAAGUAUAUGAUAUGAGCUAGACAACCAACUAGGCACUGGGGGGCUCAAAUACAAAGAAUGAAAUAAGAUCUAACGAAAAUCCAUUAAAAAAUUCAAUUCAAUGUCUUUUCAGAAUCUACAACAUAUAAAGCAUUUUCUUAGGAAAGAUAAAGGAAGAUUUAACAAUGAAUAAAAUCAGCUGUGGUUUCUUAAGUAACUUACA